GACUUUCGGCCUGCCGGGCUAUGACGACUCCACCCACGAUGAGGCUAUAUGGAAAAACAACUAAUGGGACACGCCCCUUUGAGCUGCGUGCUACAGCGAGGCUAAGCUAGUGGGGGAAAAGUUUCAGUGCAUUCCGUUGAUGUAGACGGCGUGAAAACGGAAACAAGUAUGCUGGCUCACUGUGCUGCAUACAAUUGCACACUGCGUCGUACGACUGAGACAAGGAAACUUGGAAGGACUUUUCAUAGGUUUCCCAGAGACUAUGGGUUGAGGAGGAAGUGGAAGUUUGUCGGCUUAGACCUGGUGUCAUUCCAUCAGUGUUAAACUUCCCGGCUCAUCUUGGAAGAGUACGUGCCAGAAAGACCACGACCAAGCAGCCUUGAGAUCUUAGGCAGCGUCUCCCUGAGUUGCUGUAAAAAGUCAGUCCAUCCUGGCUGACUUCAACACCUCUUCAUGACAACUUGUUCUGCCUCCGACCUCGUGGAAACUCCAGAAACUCGGGAAAACCUGUGGAGACUCGAAGAACUCGUGGAGACUCGAAAAACUCGUCGGGCGGGGGAAGGUGUGGUGGGCGGUGGAGGGAGGUGGGGGAGUAGAGGGGGGAGGCCGCCACCCACCUCCCCACCUACUCUCCGCCCUGACUCCACCCAGACUCCGCCUUGCCUCCGCCCAUGUGGUCACUUCAGGAACUACGAUGCCAAAGGGACGACGAAUUUAUUUCUUUUUAUCUGAUCUGUAGCUCAGUGAGUUAAGGAUUUGCCUAUGGAGCUGCAGGUCGCCGGUUCAAGACCAGACACUUCUUAAAUUUUCUCAAUAUUCUGACAAAGACAAAGAAAGAAAAAGGCCGGUGGCGGGUCUUGAACCUGCGACCUUCCAGUCUGUAGUCUGUCUUCUUUUCCCCUGAGCUAUACGCUCAGAUACUAAUUCUUCUUUUUUUUGCGCAUUUAUCAUCUAUUUUUUGUCGUUUUCGAGUUUUUUUUUUAACUCGAGUCUCGACUCGACCGUUUUUCUCAGGAGGUUGGACUUCAGCCUUUGUGCUGGAGGGUGGAACCCUCAGUUCCAAGACUUUCCAAAGCCUCCACACCUCCCGAGUCUUCAGGACCUGAGCUUUCACACAGUCUGAGGGCUGAAAUUUUCUAAGUCCCACAGCAGUUCUCUGUUAGUUUGAACCUUCAGACAGUCUGAGGACAGAAAUUUUCCAAGUCCCACAGUAGUUCUCUGUUAGUUUGAACCUGCAGACAGUCCAAGGACUGAAAUCCUCUAAGUUCCUGAGUACUUCUCUGUUAGUUUGAACCUUCAGACAGUCUGAGGACUGAAAUUUUAAAAGUUCCUGUGUACUUCUCUGUUAGUUUGAGCUUUCAGACAGUCUGAGGACUGAAAUUUUAAAAGUUUCUCACUACUUCUCUGUUAGUUUGAACCUUCAGACACUCUGAGGACUGAAGUUUUAAAAGUUUCUCAGUACUUCUCUGUUAGUUUGAACUUUCUGGUUAACAGAAGCCUUAAAACUUGUGACCAUGAGUCUUGAUUUCACAUUUAGACCAUCCAUCUGAGUUCUUCUCAGACCUUCACCUGUGGGUUUUUUAGAAAUCCUGAACAAACUUUGAUUCUCUUCACUGAACAGUAAAGUUUGUGGAGAUCAGAAGGUAACAUUAGUUUGAUCAAUGCCUUCAACUACUAGUAGACUUUAUCUGGAAAGCAGUUUCCUUAAAUGAGUUCUUAGUAAAUCUGUCCACAAUCAAACCAAGAACAUAGAAAGAGGAAAUGUUUGAAGAAACAACUUGAUGUUUUCAUUUCAGACUAGAAAAUGCUUUAAUACCUUCAUCUAUUUUUGCUCUUUUUCAUCUUUUUAUUGUCUCUUCUGUUUAAUUUGAUCUUCUAAAGUUUAACUGGUGUCUUUUCAAAUGUUUUGUCUUUAGUUUUAUUCUUCUUAAAUGUUUAGUGUUGCUCUUUUCUCACCUUUUAUUCUUUUCUAAUGUCUG
Molecule: long non-coding RNA, 1979 nt
Organism: Amphiprion ocellaris (clown anemonefish)
Lineage: Eukaryota; Metazoa; Chordata; Actinopteri; Pomacentridae
Source: Ensembl